Molecule: non-coding RNA, 45 nt
Organism: Schistosoma curassoni
Lineage: Eukaryota; Metazoa; Platyhelminthes; Trematoda; Strigeidida; Schistosomatidae
Source: Rfam
AUCUAGCUGACGAGUCCAUAAUGGGAGGAAACGUGCGUCCCAUAU